GUGUGAGAGUGAAGGAAGUAUGCAAACCGUUCUCUGACACACUCUGUGAGCCUCUGGAAGGACAUUACUGCAUUGACCCAAUCAAAUAUCGCUGUCAAAGAGCUGUGGAAUUCUCCGAGUGCAAACCAGGACAGUACAUCAAACUGAAAGGUACUGCAUCCUCAGAUACUGUCUGCAAAGACUGCAGCAGCGGCACAUACUCAGACAGGUCCUUAACAUCCUGCAUCCCACACACACAGUGUAAAUUACCCUAUGUUUUGGGGAGAUCAGGGACCUCAUCAUCAGACGCUGAAUGCCACUUGUCCUCCUUGGCUGUGGCCAUUGCUGCUGCCGUGUGUUCCAUACCCUUCCUGAUAAUUAUGUUCCUUGUGUGCCGAAAAUGCUGUUUUUACUCUCCUCGAGUCCGUUCAUACCUCCCAUGCACCAAUAGUGCGCACCGUCACAAGAACCAAAAUCAGCCAUCUUGACACUUGUUGCUGUGGUGAUCUGGAGGAUGAAGAAUAAUGGACCGUGAUGCCAGGACUGGCCACCACGACAUCCGUAAUGAUGACCGCCAUUUAACUUCUUAUGCCUUUAAUGGAACGAGGCUUUUUGUGCCUUGGCUUCGAUGGAAUGGAUGAGAUUGUGACAGGAAAUGAGUGGGAGAGGCAAAGAUGGGGUAGGGUUGGGAAAUAACCCAGGCUGGACUCAAACCCAGGUCCCCAUGA
Engraulis encrasicolus (European anchovy) is the source of this 707-nucleotide long non-coding RNA. RefSeq lists it as uncharacterized. The transcript is spliced from 4 exons. The record is from RefSeq and is a predicted model, not a curated record. NCBI's taxonomy places the organism in Eukaryota, Metazoa, Chordata, Actinopteri, Clupeiformes, Engraulidae.